Xylariales sp. No.14919 is the source of this 69-nucleotide non-coding RNA. The record is from the annotation of a GenBank genome assembly. Lineage: Eukaryota; Fungi; Ascomycota; Sordariomycetes; Xylariales.
AGAUUGGUAGCUCAGUGGUAGAGUAAUCGACUAUAGUUCGCUACGUCAUAGCAAUCCCCAUUCCAUCUU